This is a long non-coding RNA of Solanum dulcamara, 1034 nucleotides long. RefSeq lists it as uncharacterized. The record is from RefSeq and is a predicted model, not a curated record. Lineage: Eukaryota; Viridiplantae; Streptophyta; Magnoliopsida; Solanales; Solanaceae. The transcript has 3 exons.
AGCUUUAGUUCUUUGAUAAAAUUCUUAAGUUUCUACAUUUUCCUUCGCUUUCAUCUCAAAAUUCCUUGCCCAUUUAUCUUAAUUUCAAUCAAUAUUUGUAGAAUUUUCAUGGAGAAGACACCACGAAAAAAUCUUAGGCUCAAUAUUUCAAGAAUCAACAUCAAUAGCCCAAUUCAAUGUUCUCGACCAAGUUAUGAAAUUCAUGCUUUCACUCAAUUUCCUAUUAAAGAAAUUCAAAAGGUUGUUGAAAUUAGUUCGACCAAAAUCAAGAUUAACUCUACCAUUGUUACACCAAAACAAACAAAACGAAAGGGUAAAGAAAAAGUUAUUUCAACUUCACUACCGAAUGAUAGUGAUUUUGAGGACAAAAUUCCAAUAGCCAAAAGGAUCCGGGUGAAUAUACCAUCGACAUCAACAAUCAAAGCAAGAUCGAAGAAAUCUUGUUAUGUUAAUAUGAAAAAAGUCCUAAUUUAAAAGGAAUUAAAUGUGUUAAAAAAAAAAGGACAAAAUUGACACUACCAUUCAAGCCUAAGAAGAAACAAUCACAUUGGUGAGUGUACACCAAUGUGAAUGUUUUUGAUGAGACAAACGAGCGUUUAUCCAGAUUCAACAUGCUACAUUUAUUUAUGGACUCUCCAUUUGGAUAUUUGCUUGAUUUGCUAAAAAUGAAGAUCCAACCUCGAGUAAUCAGAAGCUUGAUUUAUGCUGAGACUAUUAAUGAUCGUGAUGAUAUGUUCUUCAUUUUGGUAUUAGAGAAUUUCGAAUCAUAACUGAUUUCAAAUGAUAUUGAUUUUGUUUUCGAUCUCGACACACCAUCAAUUCCAGCAAUAAAAUGCUUAAGGCUGAUUUGAUUAGAGUUUGGAAGCAAGAGGGUUUGAUUACGUUUGAAGAUCUGUUUAGUAUGACAAUGAUUUAUUUAGUUAGUACAUACAUUCUUUCCUUUCCGCCAAAGCUAUCAUACGUUCCUAAAGCUCAUUUUGAUUUGGUGGAAUCUAAAUUGUCAUUUUUUGAGCUGAGAAAAUUGAUUUCUUGAU